Molecule: ribosomal RNA, 497 nt
Filed under: uncultured bacterium
Lineage: Bacteria
Description: partial 16S ribosomal RNA
Rfam family: Bacterial small subunit ribosomal RNA
Source: RNAcentral
GAUGAACGCUGGCGGCGUGCCUAAUACAUGCAAGUCGAGCGAUCACACGAGGCACCUUGCUGCUUUACUUUCGCGUCGCACGCGUGAGUAACACGUCGGUAACCUACCUUUAAGACUGGGAUAACUUAGUGAAACCGGUGCCUAUUCCGGCUUAUCUUUUCAACCCCAUGGUUCAAUACUGUAAGGCGGUUUUGCAUUCACUUUGACCUGAUUCCGCGCCGUAUUAGCUAGUUGGUCAGGUAACGGCUUACCAAGGCAACGAUGCGUAGCCGACCUGAGAGGGUGAUCGGCCACACUGGAACUGAGACACGGUCCAGACUCCUACGGGAGGCAGCAGUAGGGAAUCUUGCGCAAUGGGCGAAAGCCUGACGGAGCAACGCCGCGUGAGUGAUGAAGGUCUUCGGAUCGUAAAACUCUGUUAGUAGGGAGGAACAAAUGUGUAAGUAACUAUGCACGUAUUGACGUUACCUAAUCAGAAAGCCACGGCUAACUACGUG